UACGAAGGGGGCUAGCGUUGUUCGGAAUUACUGGGCGUAAAGCGCGCGCAGGCGGUCCUUCAAGUCAGAGGUGAAAGCCCAGAGCUCAACUCUGGAAUGGCCUUUGAGACUAGAGGACUUGGGUACGGGAGAGGUGAGUGGAAUUCCGAGUGUAGAGGUGAAAUUCGUAGAUAUUCGGAAGAACACCAGUGGCGAAGGCGGCUCACUGGCCCGUUACCGACGCUCAGGCGCGACAGCGUGGGGAGCGAUCCGG
RNAcentral lists this ribosomal RNA (253 nucleotides) under uncultured bacterium. Its description in RNAcentral is "partial 16S ribosomal RNA". It matches the Rfam family "Bacterial small subunit ribosomal RNA", at positions 524 to 776 of the family's 1533-position model. The record is from RNAcentral.